RNAcentral lists this ribosomal RNA (1202 nucleotides) under Opistognathus maxillosus (mottled jawfish). RNAcentral describes it as "partial 16S ribosomal RNA". It matches the Rfam family "Bacterial large subunit ribosomal RNA", at positions 585 to 2558 of the family's 2925-position model. Lineage: Eukaryota; Metazoa; Chordata; Actinopteri; Opistognathidae. The record is from RNAcentral.
GCAGAGCCUCAACCUCGUACCUUUUGCAUCAUGAUUUAGCCAGCCUCUUUCAAGCAAAAAGAAUUUUAGUUUGACAACCCGAAACUAAGUGAGCUACUCCAAGACAGCCUGAUUAAUAGGGCCACCCCGUCUCUGUGGCAAAAGAGUGGGAAGAGCUUCGAGUAGAGGUGACAGACCUACCGAACUUAGUAAUAGCUGGUUGCCUGGGAAGUGAAUAGCAGUUCAGCCCCUUGUCUUCUUUAUAAGACAGGGAGGUUAGUCAAAGGGGGUACAGCCCCUUUGAAAUAAGAUACAACUUAAAACAGCAGGGUAAAGAUCAUACUAUAAAUUAGGCCUAACAUUCUGGUGGGCUUAAAAGCAGCCACCCACAAAGAAAGCGUUAAAGCUCGAAUGUACAAUACUGAUAAACUUAUCUUAACCCACUAGUUAUACCAUGCCACCUCAUGCCCCCAUGAGGGAGACCAUGCUAAUAUGAGUAAUAAGAGACGACUCUCUCCUAGCACAAGUGUAGAUCGGAACGGACAAGCCACCGAACAUUAACGGCCCCAAACAAAGAGGGUAAUGAGCCAUCACAAGAAAAACACUCACCGUUAAUCUCACACAAGCGUGCCAGCAAGGAAAGACAAAAAGAAAAAGAAGGAACUCGGCAAAUAAGCUUCGCCUGUUUACCAAAAACAUCGCCUCUUGCGAAUAUAAGAGGUCCCGCCUGCCCUGUGACCACAAGUUUAACGGCCGCGGUAUUCUGACCGUGCAAAGGUAGCGCAAUCACUUGUCUUUUAAAUGAAGACCUGUAUGAAUGGCACGACGAGGGCUUAACUGUCUCCUUUUUCCAGUCAAUGAAAUUGAUCUCCCCGUGCAGAAGCGGGGAUAUAAACAUAAGACGAGAAGACCCUGUGGAGCUUUAGACACCAGAACAGCCCGUGUCAAUAUCACUUAAUUAAAAGACUGAACCAAUCGAUCCCUGUUUGACUGUCUUUGGUUGGGGCGACCGCGGGGGAACAAAAAGCCCCCAUGUGGAAUGGGAGAACUCCUAUAGCCAAGAGCCACAGCUCUAAUUACAGAACUUCUGACCUGAAAGAUCCGGCAAGACCGAUCAACGGACCGAGUUACCCCAGGGAUAACAGCGCAAUCCUCUUCCAGAGCCCAUAUCGACAAGGGGGUUUACGACCUCGAUGUUGGAUCAGGACAUCCUAAUGGUGCAG